GACGAACGCUGGCGGCGUGCUUAACACAUGCAAGUCGAACGGAAAGGCCCUGCUUUUGUGGGGUGCUCGAGUGGCGAACGGGUGAGUAACACGUGAGUAACCUGCCCUUGAUUUUGGGAUAACUUCAGGAAACUGGGGCUAAUACCGGAUAGGAGCUCCUGCUGCAUGGUGGGGGUUGGAAAGUUUCGGCGGUUGGGGAUGGACGCGCGGCUUACCAGCUUGUUGGUGGGGUAGUGGCUUACCAAGGCUUUGACGGGUAGCCGGCCUGGGAGGGUGACCGGCCACAUUGGGACUGAGAUAGGGCCCAGACUCCUACAGGAGGCAGCAGUGGGGAAUAUUGCACAGUGAGCGGAAGCCUGAUGCAGCAACGCCGCGUGCGGGAUGACGGCCUUCGGGUUGUAAACCGCUUUCGCCUAUGACGAAGCGUGAGUGACGGUAAUGGGUGAAGAAGCACCGGCUAACUACGUG
Molecule: ribosomal RNA, 468 nt
Filed under: uncultured bacterium
Lineage: Bacteria
Description: partial 16S ribosomal RNA
Rfam family: Bacterial small subunit ribosomal RNA
Source: RNAcentral